UUGACAGAACUGUGGGGACGCAGAAGGAGAGCACUACCUGGAAUGGAAUCCAGGGGCAAGCACAGGAGGGGUACGGCUGGAAAAACCGCCGUGCAACCCAAAGGUGUGACGCAUACCGAACUAAAGUAGGGAAAUGUGUGAGCCGGCUGCCGAGAAAAGCCGCUAUUGUUUGUACUGUACCCGUACCGUAAACCGACACAGGUGGAUGAGGAGAGAAUCCUAAGGCCGACGGAAGAAGCAUUGCUAAGGAACUCGGCAAAAUGACCCUGUAACUUCGGGAGAAAGGGUGCCUCGAAAGAGGCCGCAGAGAAUAGGCCCAAGCAACUGUUUAGCAAAAACACAGGUCUAUGCAAAACCGCAAGGUGAAGUAUAUGGGCUGACGCCUGCCCGGUGCUGGAAGGUUAAGGGGAGAUGUCAGGAGACGAAGCAUCGAACUUAAGCCCCAGUAAACGGCGGCCGUAACUAUAACGGUCCUAAGGUAGCGAAAUUCCUUGUCGGGUAAGUUCCGACCCGCACGAAAGGCGUAAUGAUUUGGGCGCUGUCUCGGCAAUGCAUCCGGUGAAAUUGAAGUGCCAGUGAAGAUGCUGGCUACCCGCGCCAGGACGGAAAGACCCCAUGGAGCUUUACUCCAGCUUGAUACUAGGAUUCGGUAUUGUAUGUACAGGAUAGGUGGGAGGCUGAGAAAUGGUGACGCCAGUCGCCAUGGAGCCGCUGUUGGGAUACCACCCUUGCAGUACUGGAUUUCUAACCAGCAGCCGUGAUCCGGCUGGGGGACAAUGUCAGGUGGGGAGUUUGACUGGGGCGGUCGCCUCCGAAAGGGUAUCGGAGGCGCUCAAAGGUUCCCUCAGAAUGGUCGGAAACCAUUCGAAGAGUGCAAAGGCAGAAGGGAGCUUGACUGCGACACCGACGGGUGGGGCAGGUACGAAAGUAGGACUUAGUGAUCCGGUGGUAUUAAGUGGGAAUGCCAUCGCUCAACGGAUAAAAGCUACCCUGGGAUAACAGGCUUAUCACUCCCAAGAGUUCACAUCGACGGAGUGGUUUGGCACCUCGAUGUCGGCUCAUCGCAUCCUGGGGCUGUAGUAGGUCCCAAGGGUUGGGCUGUUCGCCCAUUAAAGCGGUACGCGAGCUGGGUUCAGAACGUCGUGAGACAGUUCGGUCCCUAUCCGGCGUGGGCGUAGGAUAUUUGAGAGGAGCUGACCUUAGUACGAGAGGACCGGGUUGGACUGACCUCUGGUGCACCGGUUGUCAUGCCAAUGGCACAGCCGGGUAGCCAAGUCGGGAAGGGAUAAACGCUGAAGGCAUCUAAGCGUGAAGCCCCCCUCAAGAUGAGAUAUCCCCCGCAUAAGCGGUAAGACCCCUUGAAGACGACGAGGUAGAUAGGGCAGAGGUGGAAGUGCAGUAAUGUAUGGAGCUGACUGCUACUAAUAGGUCGAAGGCUUAACU
This 1443-nucleotide ribosomal RNA is filed under the name metagenome. Its description in RNAcentral is "bacterial LSU rRNA". It matches the Rfam family "Bacterial large subunit ribosomal RNA", at positions 1455 to 2925 of the family's 2925-position model. The record is from RNAcentral.